This 335-nucleotide long non-coding RNA is filed under the name Homo sapiens (human). Its description in RNAcentral is "long intergenic non-protein coding RNA 393". The record is from RNAcentral. Lineage: Eukaryota; Metazoa; Chordata; Mammalia; Primates; Hominidae.
AGGAGAGGCGUUGUGGGGCAGGAGGGGACGUGGUCACGAAGGAGCAAACAUGGUGUGGCCUCGGAGAGAGGGGCAGGGCUCUGCCAGACCGUGAGGGCGCCGCCAGACCUGACAGGGGCGGACCCAAUAGAAAAGCGGGUGGAAGAGCACAGGGUAUUCUUCAUUGAUCUUACUCGAAGUUGAGAACAUGUAUUUUGACUCUGAGAAAUGAAUAGAAGAAGUUUGGUUCCUGUAAGCAAAUGUCUCAGAAGAAUCCUUCUUUGAAGCUGCCACAAAAGCAGAAGACAUUGCGUGACUGUGCAAGUACAAGAACUAAGAGAAACUCAUAAGCACUU